Molecule: ribosomal RNA, 300 nt
Filed under: uncultured Arcobacter sp.
Lineage: Bacteria; Pseudomonadati; Campylobacterota; Epsilonproteobacteria; Campylobacterales; Arcobacteraceae
Description: bacterial SSU rRNA
Rfam family: Bacterial small subunit ribosomal RNA
Source: RNAcentral
GCUGAGAUUGUGCCAGAGGCCGGGGGAAGACUAAGGUGGGUAGCGUUGCGCGGUAUUACGUGGCGUAAAGCGCACGUAGGCGGAUUGUUAAGUCUGGGGUGAAAUCCUGGAGCUCAACUCCAGAACUGCCUUCGAUACUGGCGAUCUCGAGUUCGGGAGAGGUGAGUGGAACUGCGAGUGUAGAGGUGAAAUUCGUAGAUAUUCGCAAGAACACCAGUGGCGAAGGCGGCUCACUGGCCCGAUACUGACGCUGAGGUGCGAAAGCGUGGGGAGCAAACAGGAUUAGAUACCCGGGUAGUC